This 466-nucleotide ribosomal RNA is filed under the name Gemella morbillorum. Its description in RNAcentral is "bacterial SSU rRNA". It matches the Rfam family "Bacterial small subunit ribosomal RNA", at positions 28 to 474 of the family's 1533-position model. Lineage: Bacteria; Bacillati; Bacillota; Bacilli; Caryophanales; Gemellaceae. The record is from RNAcentral.
GACGAACGCUGGCGGCGUGCCUAAUACAUGCAAGUCGAGCGAAGUUUUUCUGGUGCUUGCACUAGAAAAACUUAGCGGCGAACGGGUGAGUAACACGUAAAGAACCUGCCUCAUAGACUGGGACAACUAUUGGAAACGAUAGCUAAUACCGGAUAACAGCGUUAACUGCAUGGUUGAUGUUUGAAAGUUGGUUAUGCUAACACUAUGAGAUGGCUUUGCGGUGCAUUAGCUAGUUGGUGGGGUAAAGGCCCACCAAGGCGACGAUGCAUAGCCGACCUGAGAGGGUGAUCGGCCACACUGGGACUGAGACACGGCCCAGACUCCUACGGGAGGCAGCAGUAGGGAAUCUUCCGCAAUGGGCGAAAGCCUGACGGAGCAACGCCGCGUGAGUGAAGAAGGAUUUCGGUUCGUAAAGCUCUGUUGUUAGGGAAGAAUGGAUAUGUAGUAACUAUACAUGUAAGAGACG